Molecule: ribosomal RNA, 1411 nt
Filed under: Klebsiella pneumoniae
Lineage: Bacteria; Pseudomonadati; Pseudomonadota; Gammaproteobacteria; Enterobacterales; Enterobacteriaceae
Description: partial 23S ribosomal RNA
Rfam family: Bacterial large subunit ribosomal RNA
Source: RNAcentral
CAAGGCUGAGGUGUGAUGACGAGGCACUACGGUGCUGAAGUAACAAAUGCCCUGCUUCCAGGAAAAGCCUCUAAGCAUCAGGUAACAUCAAAUCGUACCCCAAACCGACACAGGUGGUCAGGUAGAGAAUACCAAGGCGCUUGAGAGAACUCGGGUGAAGGAACUAGGCAAAAUGGUGCCGUAACUUCGGGAGAAGGCACGCUGGUGUGUAGGUGAAGCCCCUGCGGGUGGAGCUGAGACCAGUCGAAGAUACCAGCUGGCUGCAACUGUUUAUUAAAAACACAGCACUGUGCAAACACGAAAGUGGACGUAUACGGUGUGACGCCUGCCCGGUGCCGGAAGGUUAAUUGAUGGGGUUAUCCGUAAGGAGAAGCUCUUGAUCGAAGCCCCGGUAAACGGCGGCCGUAACUAUAACGGUCCUAAGGUAGCGAAAUUCCUUGUCGGGUAAGUUCCGACCUGCACGAAUGGCGUAAUGAUGGCCAGGCUGUCUCCACCCGAGACUCAGUGAAAUUGAACUCGCUGUGAAGAUGCAGUGUACCCGCGGCAAGACGGAAAGACCCCGUGAACCUUUACUAUAGCUUGACACUGAACAUUGAGCCUUGAUGUGUAGGAUAGGUGGGAGGCUUUGAAGCGUGGACGCCAGUCUGCGUGGAGCCAACCUUGAAAUACCACCCUUUAAUGUUUGAUGUUCUAACGUUGGCCCCUGACCGGGGUUGCGGACAGUGUCUGGUGGGUAGUUUGACUGGGGCGGUCUCCUCCCAAAGCGUAACGGAGGAGCACGAAGGUUAGCUAAUCCUGGUCGGACAUCAGGAGGUUAGUGCAAUGGCAUAAGCUAGCUUGACUGCGAGCGUGACGGCGCGAGCAGGUGCGAAAGCAGGUCAUAGUGAUCCGGUGGUUCUGAAUGGAAGGGCCAUCGCUCAACGGAUAAAAGGUACUCCGGGGAUAACAGGCUGAUACCGCCCAAGAGUUCAUAUCGACGGCGGUGUUUGGCACCUCGAUGUCGGCUCAUCACAUCCUGGGGCUGAAGUAGGUCCCAAGGGUAUGGCUGUUCGCCAUUUAAAGUGGUACGCGAGCUGGGUUUAGAACGUCGUGAGACAGUUCGGUCCCUAUCUGCCGUGGGCGCUGGAGAAUUGAGGGGGGCUGCUCCUAGUACGAGAGGACCGGAGUGGACGCAUCACUGGUGUUCGGGUUGUCAUGCCAAUGGCACUGCCCGGUAGCUAAAUGCGGAAGAGAUAAGUGCUGAAAGCAUCUAAGCACGAAACUUGCCCCGAGAUGAGUUCUCCCUGAGACUAUAAGUCUCCUGAAGGAACGUUGAAGACGACGACGUUGAUAGGCCGGGUGUGUAAGCGCAGCGAUGCGUUGAGCUAACCGGUACUAAUGAACCGUGAGGCUUAACCUUACAACGCCGAAG